Lactuca sativa (garden lettuce) is the source of this 859-nucleotide non-coding RNA. The record is from RefSeq and is a predicted model, not a curated record. NCBI's taxonomy places the organism in Eukaryota, Viridiplantae, Streptophyta, Magnoliopsida, Asterales, Asteraceae.
UAGAAAUCAAAGGUUGAAUGAGGGAAAAAAAGGGCAACACAACCAAUAGUUUAUAAAUUGAUUGCACAUAUUACGUAUGAAGUUGUAACAUUAUAUAGCAAAUAUAAUAAAAUCUUAAUCAAUCUAAGGUAUUUCUAAUAUUUCACAUCAAUAAAUCUGAAAUGUUUUUUUUGAAAUGAUUUUUUGCUUGAAGAAGGGGUUGGGAAGUGGAGAGGAUCCUUCCUUAAUUUACCCUAAUAAUUCAACUUGACUUGUUUACCAAGCUCCAAUUAUUCAACACUCUCCUAUAUAUAUUGACAACUCCAUUGUCAUUUUUCACUCAAGCAAGUGCCCAUUCCAUUCCAUCUUCCCAUUCCAAUUCCAUCUUCACACACAAAUAUGAAUACUAUUAAUCAAUUCAAAACUGGAGUACAAAUUGAGCAUAGCAAUAUGCAAAGUUCUUCGAUUUCCCUUUUUAGUUGUUUUCUUGACACCCUUUCUCUUUUCUUUACCUCACUCUGUGGCGAUGACCAUCAUCAUUUCAUUGUGUCAGAAGACGCGUGUAUUGGUGAAAAAAACAUCGCCUCUUCUAAUAUUGCAGCACAAAAGCAAUUCCAACAACUUCAUCAGAUAAAAGGGCCAUGAUCAAUCAACUUUACUUCAUGUUCUUGUUGUACGCGGUAAAAGAUUCAUCACUUAGAGAAGAUGAUUAAAACAAGUGAUCAAGCUAUAUAUUACAUCGAUAUCAAUCGUACGAGUCUUGUGUAAUAAGUCAAAGAGUGCAUGUGGAAAAUGAAUUGCAUUAUAUUGUAUUGAAACUUUCAUUUCAUUGUCACCCUUCUUUUUUAUAGUAACAAAUCUAUUAUUAACUCGUCAUUCA